This 461-nucleotide ribosomal RNA is filed under the name Brissus sp. RCMBAR1087. RNAcentral's name for it is "partial 16S ribosomal RNA". It matches the Rfam family "Bacterial large subunit ribosomal RNA", at positions 2049 to 2605 of the family's 2925-position model. Lineage: Eukaryota; Metazoa; Echinodermata; Echinoidea; Spatangoida; Brissidae. The record is from RNAcentral.
AACUAGACUGUCUCUUUCUCUUUAAUCUUAAUUUCACAAUCCCGUGAAGAGGCGGGGAUAAGUUCGUAAGACGAGAAGACCCUGUCGAGCUGCAGUGGAACCUUAACUGCUAUUUACCUUAAACCCUAUCUAAUACGUAAUAAGAUUAGUAAUGAGAGAGGCAUAGUAAAUUAAGAUAAACUUUGAUUGGGGCAAUCUCGGAGGAGGAUAAUCCUCCGAUACUAACAGUUAUGCAAUAUAACUUAACUUAAAAGAGCUACUACUCUAAGAUCAUAGAAUGAAGGUAUGAUCCACUCACAGUGAUCAAAGGAACAAGUUACCGCAGGGAUAACAGCGUUAUCUUUUCUGAGAGUUCAUAUUGACGAAAAGGUUUGCGACCUCGAUGUUGGAUCGGGGACAUCCUAAGGGUGCAGAAGCUUUUAAGGGUUGGUCUGUUCGACCAUUAAAGUCCUAACGUGAUC